CCACACUAUGGGCUUGAUCCUAUCAGCCCUUGGUCACCUGAGCAGUCUAUACUCACAAGAUUAGUCCUGUUCACUGCGAGUGUUUGUUAUGCUUUUCAGGUUAAUCGCUUAUGUGUCUGUACAAAGCAACUACAAUGAUUUGAUCCAGAGAUCAUCUGUGGUGCAUAACAAUAACCAGAGCUGUGAGACAGUUUAACAAAGGACUCUGCAUGCUACAACACCUUAGCACAAAGGUGUGACUUAAAGGGGCAAAUCCUGGGGUCUCUACACAGCCUGAGUACAUGGGCUGUGCCCAGGGCUACUCUACAAGGACGUCUAAGGAAGGAUUCCUUCGCACAGAGCAGGCCGCAGAGUAGCAGUGGAGCUGUUCCACAGCCUGCACUGCAGGCUGUACUGCAGUCCUAUAGCUGAAAUACACCCUCUCCAGCCAUGGACUAUGACCUAUCUUUCUUCCCAGGUGGGGUGAUGGUUUGGCUAGUGGGUCCAUGCAGUUGUAGAUCCACUGGCCCAACUCCUUCUUGUCCUCUGGCCUACUUCAACUCUUGUUCCUUGCACAGGGUGUUUGCUACCCAAAUCCAGCUCCACUGUGCCAGCAGAACCAGCUCCCACCAGUGCUGCAGUGCUGAGAACCUACUGUGGCUGUGGGGGAUAAGAAUUUGUACGUCUAUGUUAUCAUUGUAUUACCAGCACUUGGUGUUAUGUUUCACAAAUACUCUGCACCAAGUGCAAGUGUUUAAUCACCUCUUCCCACUGAAAAACCAGCCGAGGGGCUAUUCCCUUCCCCUUCAUGCCUGCACACUAUUUCAUUAUUGGAGGGACUGUUCAUGAGUGAUGGGCUGCUCGCACAGGGCCAAGACUGAGUAACUAGACUGAACAGCGAGGACCUCACCAUGUGUAAGGUGGAGGAAUCUGCUCUGAGGCUGAAGUACCAUUUCAAGAGCCUUGAGAUCAGCACAGGCUCCGUGAUGCUAGCAUCUGUCCUCUCUAGAGGCAGGUAGAGUCACCAGCCCAAAUAGCUCCUACACUCAGCUAUUCAUGAAGCUUGGCUCUGUGGUAUUCACUGAAAUUCCGUCCCUCUCUGGAACACUCUGCUCUCAUCGAGGGGCAGGCAGUAGAGGAGGAUUUGCCCAGAGAGCAUGGCAUGGUCUUUGCAAAAUGAUAAAAGAGGGCCAGGUCCAUUUCAAAAUAAAGCAGAGAAAACACCAAACUAAAAUGAAGAGAUUGUUCUGUGAACGAUGAGUCUCUAACCAAAAUACAACCCUUCCACACAGCCCCAGCACGGCCAAAGGGUUUACAGUCAGAGAGUGAAUAUUAUGCAGACAGUGGUAGCCCUUUAAGAAAACUAUGAACUUUGGGGUGGGAAAUCCAUUUAACUUGCUUCAUUGAGUGCAUGGGAGAAUUAUGCAGUGGUGAGUCGUCACAUCAUCUCCACAUGGCAACCUAGUACUUCAUUUAGCUUCCUCGUGGGUAAACUGAGGAUAAUAAUAUUUACCCACCGCACAGAGACAUGGAA
Long non-coding RNA from Mauremys mutica (yellowpond turtle), 1513 nucleotides. RefSeq lists it as uncharacterized. The transcript is spliced from 3 exons. The record is from RefSeq and is a predicted model, not a curated record. Lineage: Eukaryota; Metazoa; Chordata; Testudines; Geoemydidae.